RNAcentral lists this ribosomal RNA (806 nucleotides) under uncultured bacterium. RNAcentral's name for it is "bacterial SSU rRNA". It matches the Rfam family "Bacterial small subunit ribosomal RNA", at positions 545 to 1353 of the family's 1533-position model. The record is from RNAcentral.
CCUGAUUUACUGGGUUUAAAGGGUGCGUAUGCGGCCUUGUAACUCAGCGGUGAAAUUUUGCAUCUUAACUGUAAAAGUGCCGUUGAUACUGUGAGGCUAGGAUUUGGUUGCUGUGGGUGGAAUGUGUGGUGUAUCGGUGAAAUGCUUAGAGAUCACACAGAAUAUCGAUUGCGAAGGCAGCUCACAAAGCCAAGAUUGACGCUGAGGCACGAAAGUGUGGGGAUCAAACAGGAUUAGAUACCCUGGUAGUCCACACUGUAAACGAUGAUAACUCGCUGUCCGCGAUAUACAGUCGGUGGCCAAGCGAAAGCGAUAAGUUAUCCACCUGGGGAGUACGACCGCAAGGUUGAAACUCAAAGGAAUUGACGGGGGCCCGCACAAGCGGAGGAACAUGUGGUUUAAUUCCAUGAUACGCGAGGAACCUUACCCGGGCUCGAACGGUGCAGGAAUAUGGUACAGAUAUCAUACCUAGCAAUAGUCUGUAUCGAGGUGCUGCAUGGUUGUCGUCAGCUCGUGCCGUGAGGGGUCGGCUUAAGUGCCAUAACGAGCGCAACCCUUGUCAUUAGUUACCAUCACGUCAAGCUGGGGACUCUAAUGAGACUGCCACCGUAAGGUGAGAGGAACGGGGAGAUGACGUCAAAUCAGCACGGCCCGUAUGUCCGGGGGCGACACACAUGUUACAAUGGGCGGGUACAGAGGGCAGCCAUCCGGCGACUGAGCGCCAAUCUCACAAACUCUUCUCAGUUCGGAUUGAAGUCUGCAACCCGACUCCAUGAAGUUGGAUUCGCUAGUAAUCGCGCAUCAUG